This is a long non-coding RNA of Poecilia latipinna (sailfin molly), 187 nucleotides long. RefSeq lists it as uncharacterized. The transcript has 2 exons. NCBI's taxonomy places the organism in Eukaryota, Metazoa, Chordata, Actinopteri, Cyprinodontiformes, Poeciliidae. The record is from RefSeq and is a predicted model, not a curated record.
CUAUUUUUCAUACACGUGGCAUCAGGUCAAAAUACUCAUACAGCUUUGGAGAUACAGACUUCAAACUCACUCAGCAUAGAGGUGAGACAUGAAAGCUGAAAAGUGAUCAAAAGAAUUCUUGUACAUCAAAGCAUGUGGGCGUGGCUAAGUGUCAAACUUUGGCUUUGUGCCAUGACACAUUAGAAUG